This 1443-nucleotide ribosomal RNA is filed under the name Salmonella enterica subsp. enterica serovar Typhi. Its description in RNAcentral is "bacterial SSU rRNA". It matches the Rfam family "Bacterial small subunit ribosomal RNA". The record is from RNAcentral. Lineage: Bacteria; Pseudomonadati; Pseudomonadota; Gammaproteobacteria; Enterobacterales; Enterobacteriaceae.
CUGCUUUGCUGACGAGUGGCGGACGGGUGAGUAAUGUCUGGGAAACUGCCUGAUGGAGGGGGAUAACUACUGGAAACGGUGGCUAAUACCGCAUAACGUCGCAAGACCAAAGAGGGGGACCUUCGGGCCUCUUGCCAUCAGAUGUGCCCAGAUGGGAUUAGCUUGUUGGUGAGGUAACGGCUCACCAAGGCGACGAUCCCUAGCUGGUCUGAGAGGAUGACCAGCCACACUGGAACUGAGACACGGUCCAGACUCCUACGGGAGGCAGCAGUGGGGAAUAUUGCACAAUGGGCGCAAGCCUGAUGCAGCCAUGCCGCGUGUAUGAAGAAGGCCUUCGGGUUGUAAAGUACUUUCAGCGGGGAGGAAGGUGUUGUGGUUAAUAACCGCAGCAAUUGACGUUACCCGCAGAAGAAGCACCGGCUAACUCCGUGCCAGCAGCCGCGGUAAUACGGAGGGUGCAAGCGUUAAUCGGAAUUACUGGGCGUAAAGCGCACGCAGGCGGUCUGUCAAGUCGGAUGUGAAAUCCCCGGGCUCAACCUGGGAACUGCAUUCGAAACUGGCAGGCUUGAGUCUUGUAGAGGGGGGUAGAAUUCCAGGUGUAGCGGUGAAAUGCGUAGAGAUCUGGAGGAAUACCGGUGGCGAAGGCGGCCCCCUGGACAAAGACUGACGCUCAGGUGCGAAAGCGUGGGGAGCAAACAGGAUUAGAUACCCUGGUAGUCCACGCCGUAAACGAUGUCUACUUGGAGGUUGUGCCCUUGAGGCGUGGCUUCCGGAGCUAACGCGUUAAGUAGACCGCCUGGGGAGUACGGCCGCAAGGUUAAAACUCAAAUGAAUUGACGGGGGCCCGCACAAGCGGUGGAGCAUGUGGUUUAAUUCGAUGCAACGCGAAGAACCUUACCUGGUCUUGACAUCCACAGAACUUUCCAGAGAUGGAUUGGUGCCUUCGGGAACUGUGAGACAGGUGCUGCAUGGCUGUCGUCAGCUCGUGUUGUGAAAUGUUGGGUUAAGUCCCGCAACGAGCGCAACCCUUAUCCUUUGUUGCCAGCGGUCCGGCCGGGAACUCAAAGGAGACUGCCAGUGAUAAACUGGAGGAAGGUGGGGAUGACGUCAAGUCAUCAUGGCCCUUACGACCAGGGCUACACACGUGCUACAAUGGCGCAUACAAAGAGAAGCGACCUCGCGAGAGCAAGCGGACCUCAUAAAGUGCGUCGUAGUCCGGAUUGGAGUCUGCAACUCGACUCCAUGAAGUCGGAAUCGCUAGUAAUCGUGGAUCAGAAUGCCACGGUGAAUACGUUCCCGGGCCUUGUACACACCGCCCGUCACACCAUGGGAGUGGGUUGCAAAAGAAGUAGGUAGCUUAACCUUCGGGGGGGCGCUUACCACUUUGUGAUUCAUGACUGGGGUGAAGUCGUAACAAGGUAACCGUAGGGGAACCUGCGGUUG